RNAcentral lists this ribosomal RNA (255 nucleotides) under uncultured bacterium. RNAcentral describes it as "partial 16S ribosomal RNA". It matches the Rfam family "Bacterial small subunit ribosomal RNA", at positions 28 to 280 of the family's 1533-position model. The record is from RNAcentral.
GACGAACGCUGGCGGCGUGCUUAACACAUGCAAGUCGAGCGGUAAGGCCCUUUCGGGGGUACACGAGCGGCGAACGGGUGAGUAACACGUGGGUGACCUGCCCUCAGCUCUGGGAUAAGCCCUGGGAAACCGGGUCUAAUACCGGAUAUGACUCCAGUGACGCAUGUUGUGGGGGUGAAAGGCCUUGUGCGGCUGAGGAUGGGCCCGCGGCCUAGUCAGCUUGUUGGUGGGGUGAUGGCCUACCAAGGCGACGAC